Molecule: ribosomal RNA, 253 nt
Filed under: uncultured bacterium
Lineage: Bacteria
Description: partial 16S ribosomal RNA
Rfam family: Bacterial small subunit ribosomal RNA
Source: RNAcentral
UACGUAGGGUGCGAGCGUUGUCCGGAAUUAUUGGGCGUAAAGGGCUCGUAGGCGGUUUGUCGCGUCGGGAGUGAAAACCCAGGGCUUAACUCUGGGCUUGCUUUCGAUACGGGCAGACUAGAGGUAUGCAGGGGAGAACGGAAUUCCUGGUGUAGCGGUGAAAUGCGCAGAUAUCAGGAAGAACACCCGUGGCGAAGGCGGCUCUCUGGGACGGUACUGACGCUGAGGAGCGAAAGCGUGGGGAGCGAACAGG